This is a long non-coding RNA of Nelumbo nucifera (sacred lotus), 3447 nucleotides long. RefSeq lists it as uncharacterized. The record is from RefSeq and is a predicted model, not a curated record. Lineage: Eukaryota; Viridiplantae; Streptophyta; Magnoliopsida; Proteales; Nelumbonaceae.
CGUACACAUACUUUGCCCUCACCCUCGCCCUCGCCCCAACCUGGCCCAACCCGGCUCGACAUGUGUGCCCCCCCUCACAUGUAUGGGAUAUGUAUAGUGCUUUUCUCCUAUGAAUCCCUACCCAUAGAGAGAACAAAACUAUAGAUAUAUUCUACCUCUACUCUUUUCCCAAACAAUGUGGGAUAAAGAAUCUUCCCAUGCAUUCAAGAGAGGGAAGAGGAAAAGACAACUCAAAGAACAAGGGAGGGAGGAGAAAUUCUUGAAAUUUUGAAUCUCCCUCCAACCAUAGAGUUUGCAUUCCUAUUUACAAAAGACACUGAGAUGUUCAAAUUUUGCAAACUAUUUAGAAAAUCCUGAACCAGAAAAACAGCAUCAUUAGCUAAGAAGGCAUUUCUUUUGUAGACUGUUGUGACCAAAGCUUGACAAUCACUUUCGAACACAAUCUUUCUUCCUUCUAAAUAAUUCGCCAGCUUCAGGCCAUGACAAAAGGCUUGGGCUGGGGGAGUUUACCUUACUAUUCCCAAAAGAAACUGCAAUCACUUCCCCUUUGAAGUCCCUGGCAACCACUUCAAAACCAGCCGGGCCUCUCAACAAAAAGCUUCCAUCAAUGUUAAACUCGAUCUCUCCUUCUAUAGGGGGCUUCCAAAAAGAUGCAAGUCUAGAUUGAUUAGGGGCUGGAGAAUAAUGCAGCCAUCCUUGUUGGGAAAUCAACUUCCUCUCCUGCAUCAUCUUGAUAAUUGGCAAUUUGGCAUCACAGUAAUAGAAGGAUUAAUAGCAGAGUUUUCAAAUAUGAAAGCAUUACGGCUCUUCCAAAUUUCCCACAGAACAAUAGUAGAAGUUACUAAUAAUUGUUCCUUGGGUUCCUUUUGAUCCUCACAAAGAUCAUACCAUUUGGAAAACCAUUUCCCAAAAGACCAAUCAGAAUUUAAGUUUUCUGUUUUCACAUUUAAAGAACAGGCAAACCAUAUUGAUUUAGCAUGAUAGCAGAAGAGGAGAAUGCGCUAUUGUUUCCACUUCCUUAGAGCAGAUGGGACAAUAUUCUGUAACCUCUACUCUUCUCUUAUUUAAAUUUUCUCUACCUGGCAAUGCAUUCCAACAAUAUUUCCAUAAGAAAGUUUUAGUUUUGGAUCUAAUUUCAUUUCCCAAAUGGCUUUCCAGUGGUAUUUUUUGAGGAUUCUGUUUUCCUUCUCUUCAUUUUCCAUUCCCCUACCCAGAUUUUGAUCUAGAUUUCUUGCUACAUAAUAGGCCGAUUUCACUGUAAAAACAUCCAUUCUCAUUUAUAGUCCAGGUAAGCCUAUCUUGCCAAGAGCCUUCUGCUAAAGGUAUCCUAAGGAUGUUCUCCGAAAUUAGCUCACUAAAAUUUGAUCUGAUAAGCAUUUCAUUCCAGGAUCCCCCCCGGGUUUAUUAAAUCCUUUACUACCUUCAAAUUUCUUCCCUGAGGUCUAGGUCUUUGAAUUCUGAAUCCAGGGACUUUUGGCAGCCACGGAUCCCUCCAUAUUUUGAUCUGUUCACCAUUAUUAACUGCCCAGCAAGCCCCAUAUCUUAGAACCUGUCUGGCAGCUAGCAAGGACCCUCUUUUUGGAAGAUCAUCCACUAGGAAAUUUUUAUUUUUUAGGUAUUUUGCCUUGAUGACUUUAACCCAUAGAUUCUCUUCCUCUGUGCACAACCUCCAAGCUUGUUUUGCCAGGAGAGCUAAAUUGAAAUUAUGAGGGCCCUUCACCCAUUUAAUUUAUUUUUGCAGCAAUUGUCCCAACUUACCCAGUGAAUUUUUUUUCUUUGUAUUUCCAUCCCUCCACCAACACUCUCUUUUUAGCUUAGAGAUAGCUUCACAUAUUGUUUUUGGUAACAGGAAACAAGACAUAGUAUAAGAAGGAAUAGCUGCUACCACUGACUUCAAGAGAACCUCCUUCCCUGCUUGAGAGAGUAGAAAUUCAUGCCAACUUUUUGUUUUGCUCUCUAUUCUCUCUACCAGGUGCCCAUAUAAGGAUUUUUUUUUUUUUUAUCUCCCUAAUGCUGUAUGUAGCCCUAAGUAAAUGGAUGGAUUUGCUACUCUUUCAUACCCAAAGUUCUUGCUAACAUUUUUUGAAGCCUAGGAUGCAAAUUUAACUGAAAUAGACUUCUGAUUUAGAUAAGUUUACCUGCUGCCCCGAUGCCUGUUCAUAAUCAUGUAAAGCUUCUAGAAGAAUCUGUCGUUCAGAUGGACUUGCACUGGUGAAUAAAUAGCUAUCAUUUACAAAAAAUGGAUGUGAGAUCACAGGGAAACCUCUGUUAAGUUUUAUGCCUGACAGCCGGUUAGAAUUCACCAGAUCAUUGACUUUUAUAGAUAGGAUUUCUGAAACUAGAAGAAAUAAGUAAGGAGAUAGGGGAUCUCCUUGCCAGUCCUUUCUUUGGUUUCAAAAUCUCCCCAGGAGCACCGUUUAUAAGAAUCCUAUAGUUGACUGUUGAGAUGCACUCUAUCACCCACCUUACCAUGAUCCCCUGAAGGAAGCUCCGUUCCACUCUGUAAUAGGCAUUACUCAUGUCUAGUUGAAGUUAUAAAAGGUGCACCUUGAAUGGAUCGGUGCUUAUCUCGCCAUGAUUGUUAUUGUUGAUGAUUUUUAAUCCAGGACCAGAAGACUCUCAAAGACUCAAAACUAUGCUUGGGAGUUCUAUAUCAACAACAAUAGACUUCAGUUUCAGCAUGUGAUUCUAGUUCUUACACUUGGCAUGCAUGACACUCGAUACACCUCAUAAAUUCUAGAAUUCCUGAGUCUUGGACUGAUUCGAAAAAGUAGGCAAUCAUGUCGUCGUCUUCGUUGUGGUUGAUGAUGUCUGACAAAAAUCUCGUGGCCCUCUCUGGAGCUGGAUCCUUGAAUUAGAUUCCCUGUACCUCAUAUUUUGUCCAAUGGAAGGAGCACCAUCUCAACGCCCAUGACUGGAGGACCCUUUAGUUCCUUUUCAGUCGGGACUUUGGCAGCCUUUUUGCCCUUCUGUCUUAGAGCUGGAGCUCUCGAAUGGAGAUGCCCGGAGAUUGUGCUUCCGAUCAGGUAGCAGCAUCAAAUGCACCUUUGAAAGAGAACCAUAUAUAUAUAUAUAUAUCGGUAUGCAGCUCUGUAGACCUUACGUGAAUUCUUAUUUUGGGAUUCAUUUAAAUUGAUUCUUCUGUUUCUGUCACCCUCCAUAACCAGAGGGAAACAGCAUUGUUAUGGAUAUGCUAAUCCUUGGCAUGCUAUCGUUGACAAAAUAAUGCACCAUAAGGCAAAACCAUCUUCUCUUGAUAUUCGCAGCAGGGCCUAUUCACUUUCUUAUUCAACAAAAAUCAACUUCAGUGUGAAAACAAGACCGUUUACACCUCGGAGAAAACGGUUCAUGCAGCUCAUGUAGGAACAAACAAAUAUUACUCCAUUUUUGUGUACAUUAACAUUUCCUGUCUCAAUUUCUUUACAUAAUCUAGUUGAUAUUAUAUAA